Molecule: ribosomal RNA, 496 nt
Filed under: uncultured bacterium
Lineage: Bacteria
Description: partial 16S ribosomal RNA
Rfam family: Bacterial small subunit ribosomal RNA
Source: RNAcentral
AUGCACGCUGGCGGCGUGCCUCAUACAUGCAAGUCGAGCGAACAGACGAGGAGCUUGCUCCUCUGACGUUAGCGGCGGACGGGUGAGUAACACGUGGAUAACCUACCUAUAAGACUGGGAUAACUUCGGGAAACCGGAGCUAAUACAGGAUAAUAUAUUGAACCGCAUGGUUCAAUAGUGAAAGACGGUUUUGCUGUCACUUAUAGAUGGAUCCGCGCCGCAUUAGCUAGUUGGUAAGGUAACGGCUUACCAAGGCAACGAUGCGUAGCCGACCUGGGAGGGUGAUCGGCCACACUGGAACUGAGACACGGUCCAGACUCCUACGGGAGGCAGCAGUAGGGAAUCUUCCGCAAUGGGCGAAAGCUUGACGGAGCAACGCCGCGUGAGUGAUGAAGGUCUUCGGAUCGUAAAACUCUGUUAUUAGGGAAGAACAAAUGUGUAAGUAACUAUGCACGUCUUGACGGUACCUAAUCAGAAAGCCACGGCUAACUACGUG